RNAcentral lists this ribosomal RNA (935 nucleotides) under Amanita cf. spissacea. RNAcentral's name for it is "eukaryotic LSU rRNA". It matches the Rfam family "Eukaryotic large subunit ribosomal RNA", at positions 40 to 962 of the family's 3401-position model. Lineage: Eukaryota; Fungi; Basidiomycota; Agaricomycetes; Agaricales; Amanitaceae. The record is from RNAcentral.
AUAUCAAUAAGCGGAGGAAAAGAAACUAACAAGGAUUCCCUUAGUAACUGCGAGUGAAGAGGGAAAAGCUCAAAUUUAAAAUCUGGCAGCAUUUUGUUGUCCGAGUUGUAACCUAGAGAAGUGUAACCUGUGCUGGACCGUGUAUAAGUUUCCUGGAAUGGAGCAUCACAGAGGGUGAGAAUCCCGUCUUUGACAUGGACUACCAGUGCAUUGUGGUUGUGCUCUCAACGAGUCGAGUUGUUUGGGAAUGCAGCUCUAAAUGGGUGGUAAAUUCCAUCUAAAGCUAAAUAUUGGCGAGAGACCGAUAGCGAACAAGUACCGUGAGGGAAAGAUGAAAAGAACUUUGGAAAGAGAGUUAAACAGUAUGUGAAAUUGUUGAAAGGGAAACGUUUGAAGUCAGUCGCGUUAGCUGGGGAUCAGCCUGACAUUGUUGGGUGCACUUCCUGGUUGACGGGCCAACAUCAGUUUUGACUGCCAGAAAAAGGCCAAGGGAAUGUGGCACCUUUGGGUGUGUUAUAGCCUUUGGUCAUAUAUGGUGGUUGGGACUGAGGAAUGCAGUGUGCCGAAAGGCCGGGUUUCGACCACGUUCACACUGAGGAUGUUGGCAUAAUGGCUUUAAGCGACCCGUCUUGAAACACGGACCAAGGAGUCUAACAUGCAUGCGAGUGUUUGGGUGGAAAACCCUUACGCGUAAUGAAAGUGAAAGUUGAGAUCCCUGUCAUGGGGAGCAUCGACGCCCGGACCAGAACUUUUGGGACGGAUCUGCGGUAGAGCACGUAUGUUGGGACCCGAAAGAUGGUGAACUAUGCCUGAAUAGGGUGAAGCCAGAGGAAACUCUGGUGGAGGCUCGUAGCGAUUCUGACGUGCAAAUCGAUCGUCAAAUUUGGGUAUAGGGGCGAAAGACUAAUCGAACCAUCUAGUAGCUGGUUCCUGCC